CCGCCUGUACACAAAGGGCUGGGCUGGGCUGGGCAGGCGGGAGAGCGAUGCUCGGGAUUCU
RNAcentral lists this microRNA precursor (61 nucleotides) under Sorex araneus (European shrew). Its description in RNAcentral is "miRNA (ENSSARG00000018060.1)". The record is from RNAcentral. Lineage: Eukaryota; Metazoa; Chordata; Mammalia; Eulipotyphla; Soricidae.